CAGCAGCCACGGGAAUACGUAGGGUGCAAGCGUUAAUCGGAAUUACUGGGCGUAAAGCGUGCGCAGGCGGUUUGUUAAGACAGAUGUGAAAUCCCCGGGCUCAACCUGGGAACUGCAUUUGUGACUGGCAAGCUAGAGUAUGGCAGAGGGGGGUGGAAUUCCGCGUGUAGCAGUGAAAUGCGUAGAUAUGCGGAGGAACACCGAUGGCGAAGGCAGCCCCCUGGGCCAAUACUGACGCUCAUGCACGAAAGCGUGGGGAGCAAACAGGAUUAGAUACCCCAGUAGUCCCUGUCUCUUAUAC
This 301-nucleotide ribosomal RNA is filed under the name uncultured bacterium. RNAcentral describes it as "partial 16S ribosomal RNA". It matches the Rfam family "Bacterial small subunit ribosomal RNA", at positions 509 to 807 of the family's 1533-position model. The record is from RNAcentral.